Molecule: ribosomal RNA, 636 nt
Filed under: Sutterella sp. HGA0198
Lineage: Bacteria; Pseudomonadati; Pseudomonadota; Betaproteobacteria; Burkholderiales; Sutterellaceae
Also listed under: 1 other name
Description: bacterial SSU rRNA
Rfam family: Bacterial small subunit ribosomal RNA
Source: RNAcentral
CGGCGAGUGGCGCACGGGUGAGUAAUACAUCGGAACGUGUCUUCUAGUGGGGGAUAACUGCCCGAAAGGGCAGCUAAUACCGCAUGAGACCUGAGGGUGAAAGCGGGGGAUCGCAAGACCUCGCGCUGGAAGAGCGGCCGAUGUCCGAUUAGCUAGUUGGUGAGGUAAAGGCUCACCAAGGCGACGAUCGGUAGCUGGUCUGAGAGGACGACCAGCCACACUGGGACUGAGACACGGCCCAGACUCCUACGGGAGGCAGCAGUGGGGAAUUUUGGACAAUGGGGGCAACCCUGAUCCAGCCAUGCCGCGUGCAGGAUGAAGGUCUUCGGAUUGUAAACUGCUUUUGUCAGGGACGAAAAGGGAUGCGAUAACACCGUAUUCCGCUGACGGUACCUGAAGAAUAAGCACCGGCUAACUACGUGCCAGCAGCCGCGGUAAUACGUAGGGUGCAAGCGUUAAUCGGAAUUACUGGGCGUAAAGCGUGCGCAGGCGGUUCUGUAAGAUAGAUGUGAAAUCCCCGGGCUCAACCUGGGAAUUGCAUAUAUGACUGCAGGACUUGAGUUUGUCAGAGGAGGGUGGAAUUCCACGUGUAGCAGGGAAAUGCGUAGAUAUGUGGAAGAACACCGAUGGCGAAGG